CCUACGGGGGGCAGCAGUGAGGAAUAUUGGUCAAUGGACGAGAGUCUGAACCAGCCAAGUAGCGUGAAGGAUGACUGCCCUAUGGGUUGUAAACUUCUUUUAUAAAGGAAUAAAACGAGGCACGUGUGCCUUUUUGCAUGUACUUUAUGAAUAAGGAUCGGCUAACUCCGUGCCAGCAGCCGCGGUAAUAUGGAGGAUCCGAGCGUUAUCCGGAUAUAUUGGGUUUAAAGGGAGCGUAGAUGGGUUGUUAAGUCAGUUGUGAAAGUUUGAGGCUCAACCGUAAAAUUGCAAUUGAUACUGGCAGUCUUGAGUACAGUUGAGGUAGGCGGAAUUCGUGGUGUAGCGGUUAAAUGCUUAGAUAUCACGAAGAACCCCGAUUGCGAAGGCAGCUUACUAAACUGUGACUGACAUUGAUGCUCGAAAGUGUGGGUAUCAAACAGGAUUAGAUACCCUUGUAGUC
This 460-nucleotide ribosomal RNA is filed under the name uncultured bacterium. RNAcentral's name for it is "partial 16S ribosomal RNA". It matches the Rfam family "Bacterial small subunit ribosomal RNA", at positions 338 to 795 of the family's 1533-position model. The record is from RNAcentral.